Molecule: ribosomal RNA, 253 nt
Filed under: uncultured bacterium
Lineage: Bacteria
Description: partial 16S ribosomal RNA
Rfam family: Bacterial small subunit ribosomal RNA
Source: RNAcentral
UACGAAGGGGGCUAGCGUUGCUCGGAAUCACUGGGCGUAAAGCGCACGUAGGCGGAUUGCUAAGUCAGGGGUGAAAUCCUGGAGCUCAACUCCAGAACUGCCCUUGAUACUGGCGGUCUCGAGUCCGGGAGAGGUGAGUGGAACUGCGAGUGUAGAGGUGGAAUUCGUAGAUAUUCGCAAGAACACCAGUGGCGAAGGCGGCUCACUGGCCCGAUACUGACGCUGAGGCACGAAAGCGUGGGGAGCAAACAGG